CCAGGGUGGCUUUUGUGCGACCUCAGUGGCGGGGCGCGGAAGCAGGGGCAGUGCCCGGCAUCUGCACUCCCAAACCUUGACAGCCCUGAGGCUGAGGACUCAACUCCGGGGCGCACCAGGGGCUGCCACCGCUAGACCUCCCCCUGGCCCCCCGCCCCGUAUCGGAGGCCGGGGCAGAGCUGCCCGAGAGGCCCCCCAGCGCCCCACCCGCACCCCGCGCCCAGCAGCCCAGCUCCCGGUCCCGCCCCAGCUCUCUGGGCCGGGCUCACAGGCGGCAACGGGGCGGGGCCGGGAGGAGGGAGCGUUCCUGCAAAUCACAUGAUUUUCCCGCUUAUAUAAAUCACAGCUUGUUUUUCUGAACUGGCUGUAGACUUAAAGGUGCAGUGUCUUCUUUCUCUCCCAAGGGCAGGGGCUCCCUUGGGUGCCCUUGACCGCGGGCGGGCAAGCUGGGCGGGAGUGCCUUCAGCUAGGGAUGUGACACACACACACACAGUUCAGGGUUUAUGCUUAGUUGGCCCUUCCUCCAUGCUUGGAAUAUUUUCCUUGUGCUGAGGACCAGAGUCAGGCAAGGAAACAUUAUCACCAAGUCAAGAAACCCUCAAGGGACUGGGGCAGCCUCUCAGAGGAAUACCCGGAGGCCUGGAAGCCAGGGAAGAGAAUCCACGUAGAAGAUGCCACAGGGGGAGGAUGUACUGUAUGUCUUCUGGGGAGCCAAGAGAAAAGGAGAGAGAGCGAGGUUGGGGAACACCCAGGACGGCGAGGCUGUGAGGUCCUGUGUCCUUGGAGCCACAAACUUGCUGACUGCGAGUCCUGAGCUCAAGAAGGCCUUCACAGAUCCUUAUUGUGCCUGCCGUGUGAGCCCAGUGAGUGCCGGGCUAGCUGCAAUGCCAACAGUUCCGUCUCCUAGGCUGCAGUGGGGUGGACCCUGAACCAGCCGAGCAGGGCCAGCUGCAGCAGGCAGAGGAGAGGCCGGUCUCAGCUCAGUUGGAUGAACCUUAGCAGGCCCGACGACAGUACUGGAGCCCUGGAACCACCCUGGCUGGCCCACUCUGUGGACGUGGUUUGGACCCCCAUUUCCUGUUUGAAUAAAUGUCAUUUAAAAAAAAAUGAA
Long non-coding RNA from Peromyscus leucopus (white-footed mouse), 1111 nucleotides. RefSeq lists it as uncharacterized. The transcript is spliced from 3 exons. Lineage: Eukaryota; Metazoa; Chordata; Mammalia; Rodentia; Cricetidae. The record is from RefSeq and is a predicted model, not a curated record.